Molecule: ribosomal RNA, 484 nt
Filed under: uncultured bacterium
Lineage: Bacteria
Description: partial 16S ribosomal RNA
Rfam family: Bacterial small subunit ribosomal RNA
Source: RNAcentral
AUUGAACGCUGGCGGCAGGCCUAACACAUGCAAGUCGAGCGGAUGAAGGGAGCUUGCUCCUGGAUUCAGCGGCGGACGGGUGAGUAAUGCCUAGGAAUCUGCCUGGUAGUGGGGGAUAACGUCCGGAAACGGGCGCUAAUACCGCAUACGUCCUGAGGGAGAAAGUGGGGGAUCUUCGGACCUCACGCUAUCAGAUGAGCCUAGGUCGGAUUAGCUAGUUGGUGGGGUAAAGGCCUACCAAGGCGACGAUCCGUAACUGGUCUGAGAGGAUGAUCAGUCACACUGGAACUGAGACACGGUCCAGACUCCUACGGUAGGCAGCAGUGGGGAAUAUUGGACGAUGGGCGAAAGCCUGAUCCAGCCAUGCCGCGUGUGUGAAGAAGGUCUUCGGAUUGUAAAGCACUUUAAGUUGGGAGGAAGGGCAGUAAGUUAAUACCUUGCUGUUUUGACGUUACCAACAGAAUAAGCACCGGCUAACUUCGUG